This 433-nucleotide ribosomal RNA is filed under the name uncultured bacterium. RNAcentral describes it as "partial 16S ribosomal RNA". It matches the Rfam family "Bacterial small subunit ribosomal RNA", at positions 29 to 507 of the family's 1533-position model. The record is from RNAcentral.
AACGAACGCUGGCGGCAUGCCUAACACAUGCAAGUCGAACGAGACCUUCGGGUCUAGUGGCGCACGGGUGCGUAACGCGUGGGAACCUGCCCUUAGGUUCGGAAUAACUCCCCGAAAGGGGUGCUAAUACCGGAUAAUGUCUUCGGACCAAAGAGUUAUCGCCUUUGGAUGGGCCCGCGUUGGAUUAGCUAGUUGGUAGGGUAAAAGCCUACCAAGGCGACGAUCCAUAGCUGGUCUGAGAGGAUGAUCAGCCACACUGGGACUGAGACACGGCCCAGACUCCUACGGGAGGCAGCAGUGGGGAAUAUUGGACAAUGGGCGAAAGCCUAAUCCAGCAAUGCCGCGUGAGUGAUGAAGGCCUUAGGGUUGUAAAGCUCUUUUACACGGGAUGAUAAUGACAGUACCGGGAGAAUAAGCUCCGGCUAACUCCGUG